GAUGAACGCUGGCGGCGUGCCUAAUACAUGCAAGUCGAGCGAACAGACGAGGAGCUUGCUCCUCUGACGUUAGCGGCGGACGGGUGAGUAACACGUGGAUAACCUACCUAUAAGACUGGGAUAACUUCGGGAAACCGGAGCUAAUACCGGAUAACAUGUUGAACCGCAUGGUUCAACAGUGAAAGACGGUCUUGCUGUCACUUAUAGAUGGAUCCGCGCCGCAUUAGCUAGUUGGUAAGGUAACGGCUUACAAAGGCAACGAUGCGUAGCCGACCUGAGAGGGUGAUCGGCCACACUGGAACUGAGACACGGUCCAGACUCCUACGGGAGGCAGCAGUAGGGAAUCUUCCGCAAUGGGCGAAAGCCUGACGGAGCAACGCCGCGUGAGUGAAGAAGGUCUUCGGAUCGUAAAACUCUGUUAUUAGGGAAGAACAAAUGUGUAAGUAACUAUGCACGUCUUGACGGUACCUAAUCAGAAAGCCACGGCUAACUACGUG
Molecule: ribosomal RNA, 497 nt
Filed under: uncultured bacterium
Lineage: Bacteria
Description: partial 16S ribosomal RNA
Rfam family: Bacterial small subunit ribosomal RNA
Source: RNAcentral